CAGUUAGUGUAAGAGGAAGAGAGCCCAAGACUCCUCAAGGCCUCACCAUUCUCAACUACCAAACAACUUCAGCUUCAAAGCUCCCAACAUCUACACCUCCAGUGUCUCCUCUUUGGAAUGACUACAACCACAGCAAAUCUUUCUCCAACAAAAUCCUGGCCCUCAUGGGCUCCCCCAAGCCUCCAACCACCUACAACCGCAGAAUCAUCCUCCUCAACACUCAAAACACUAUCAAUGGAUUCACCAAAUGGGCUAUCAAUAAUAUAUCCCUAACAUUGCCUCCAACUCCUUAUUUGGGUGCCAUUAAGCAUCGUUUGAGCAACGCUUUCGAUCAGAAGAGUCCACCAGAGAACUUUCCCAACGAUUAUGAUGUGAUGAAACCUCCAACAAACACUAACUCGACAUAUGGGAAUGGGGUGUACAUGCUUGAGUUUAGGACAACGGUCGACGUGAUUCUUCAAAAUGCCAAUGCAUUAGCAACAGGUGUCAGUGAAAUACACCCUUGGCACCUGCAUGGUCAUGAUUUUUGGGUGUUGGGAUAUGGAGAAGGAAAGUUUAGGGAAAAGGAUGCGAAGAGGUUUAACUUAAAGAAUCCACCAUUGAGGAAUACUGCAGUGAUAUUCCCUUUCGGAUGGACAGCUCUUAGGUUUGUGGCGGAUAAUCCUGGGGUUUGGGCAUUUCACUGCCACAUUGAGCCUCAUUUGCAUAUGGGAAUGGGAGUGGUCUUUGCCGAAGGUGUUCAUCUGGUCAAAGAUGUACCAAACCAUGCUCUUGCUUGUGGCUUGACCGGGAAAAUGUUGAUGAGUAACUACAGUCACCACUGAGAAUAGCUAGCUGGCAACCUAGCUGAAGCUAUCUUCAAUUUUUGUGUGGUACAUACAUGCAAUUAAAAGCCUAUUUAUUUAGUUGGAAAACUGAGAACCAAAUUCUAUUUGAAGAGAGAUUUAGUCUUGUGUUUGGUUUCUUAUGUUUUGGCAAUGGUUGUGAUAUUUAAUGUAUGACAAGUAAAUUUUCCACAAUUGCACUUUGAAUUACUAUAAAACUAGAUUCCCAUCUCGUUUAUAGGGGUUGAAGUAGGACUGAUUCAUGAGAUCAACUUACAUGCUCAAUCCAUUCAAAUAGGGUGUGUUAGCAUGAAUAGCCAUGUGUUGAGUGGCAAUUGAUAUGGUCUGGAUUUAGGAGUCCUUCGAGAGUGAUAUUCAUAAAAGUGCUUUCAGUAUGUAGCGUUUUUUGUAAUGGUAUAUAUAGCAAAAAAAAAAAAAAGUGCUUUAGUAUUUUAGAAGUACAUAACAAGUGCUAAUCCAAAAAUUACUUAAAAUUUUAAAAGUGAUUUUAAUAACAUUGAUAAAUGUCUAAUAUUUAAAAGAAAAACCUUUUUGGCUGCAUUUAGUAGGUAGGGUUAAAUGGUGGGCUAGGAUUUUUUUUUUUUUUUUUUGAUAGAUAAACAGUCAAAUAUAUUAGAAGAGGCUAAAAAAGCCGCAUGUAUACAGGGGGUAUACUAAACAGCCCCAAAAGAGGCUGGAACAUCAACAAAAAAGGUUAAAAACCUCACCCACCCUCAAGUGGUCCCAAGCCACUCCAAAAAGCCUAACAGAGAGUAGGUUUCCUCACCAAUGUACACCUUAGCCCAACCCCACAAAUUACAAACAAAAGAAUUCUUGAAUUUCUAAAUAUCUAAAGACCCUCCCCUAAACACUAUCCUAUUCCUUUCCUUCCAAACCGUCCAAAAAAUGCACAGCGGUAUGGAAUUCCAUAUUUUUUUUCUUUUUUUUCCCACAAAAGAACCCCUCCAACUAUGAAGCACCUCUAUAACCGACUCUGGGAACACCCAUUGAACUCCGAAAAUGACAAGGGUAAUCUCCCAAAUAGUUUUAACCACUGUACAAUGUAAGAGAAUAUGAUUCGCAUUUUCCUCUUCGCAUCCACAUAAAUAACACCGAUUAGGUAGCUGCCAUCCCCUUCUUUGAAGCUUAUCCAAAGUGAGGAUCUUCCCCCACGCUGCCUCCCAAGCAAAAAAAGACACUUUUGUUGGAACCCUAUCCAUCCAAAUGCGUCUAUUCGGAAAAGCACCAACUGAGUAGCCGCUCAAACUUCUGUAGGCCCCCUUGGCCCCAAAAACGUCGUUGCCUUCCCGCUUCCAUCUCACUGAGUCCUCCUCCUGAGAAAUCCUGAAAUCCUUCAGAAGAUUCAGCAUUUCUCCUAUCUGAUCUAUCUCCCAAUCAUUGAAAUCUCUAGCCAAACUGAGAUUCCACCCUCCUUGCCCCAAACUAGAAUCCCACACUUCGCAAACUUUGGCAUUCUUAUGACCCGCCAAGGUAAACAACUGAGGAAAAGUUUGAGAAAGCGCCUCAUUGCCACACCACUUAUCCAUCCAAAACAAAACUCUAUUCCCCUUCCCAACCUUAAGGUCCAUGCUCUCCCAACACCACUCCGCCUCUUUCAUUAUCUCCUUCCACAACCCCACCCCAUAAGGCCCACAAACUUCCUUAGUCCUCCACCCACAUCCCUCUUGACCAUAUUUCACCCCUAUCGCCUUUUUCCAUAGGUUAUCCUUCUCAUAGGCAUAUCUCCAUACCCAUUUGCCCAACAAUGUUUUGUUCAACAAAUCUAUCUUUCGGAUGCCUAAUCCCCCCUCCUCCUUAGGGCUGCAAACCACUUGCCAAUUAAUCAAAUGAACUUUCCCCUCCAAGCUUCCUCCCCCCCACAAGAAAUCUCUUUGGAUUUUUUCAAUCCUUUUUGCCACCACCUUAGGAAUUCGAAUAAGUGAAAGGAGGUAGAUGGGUAUGCUGGCCAAGGUGCUCUUAAUAAGAGUAAUUCUUCCCCCCUUGGAGAUAUAUUGCCUUUUCCACUGGGCCAAUCUUCUUCUCAUUCUCUCUUCCACCCCAUCCCAAGAAGAGGCGUUUUUAUGAUUGGCUCCAAGGGGCAGCCCCAAGUAAACAGCGGGUAAAGCCCCCAAUUUACAACCCAGCUCAGCCGCCAAUUCCUCCAUCCCAUCCACUUCCCCCACCGGAAUAAGGACACUCUUAGCCAGAUUAAUUCUCAAGCCGGAGGCAGCCUCAAACCACGCCAAAAUCCAGCUUAGAUUGGUCAGUUGCUCUCUUCUAGCUUUGCAAAAAAUUAGAGUGUCGUCAGCAAAGAGGAGGUGCGAAACAGUCAGCUCAUCCCCCCCUCUCCCCCGCAUCCUACAGCCUGAAAUAAAGCCCCCUUCACCAGCCCGUCUAAUCAUGGUGCUAAGCACUUCCAUACCCAAAACAAAAAGAUAAGGAGAGAGGGGAUCUCCNNNNNNNNNNNNNNNNNNNNNNNNNNNNNNNNNNNNNNNNNNNNNNNNNNNNNNNNNNNNNNNNNNNNNNNNNNNNNNNNNNNNNNNNNNNNNNNNNNNNUUUUUUUUUUUUUUUCCCACAAAAGAACCCCCUCCAAUUAUGAAGCACCUCUAUAACCGACUCUGGGAACACCCAUGAAACUCCGAAAAUGACAAGGGUAAUCUCCCAAAUAGUUUUAACCACUGUACAAUGUAAGAGAAUAUGAUUCACAUUUUCCUCUUCGCAUCCACAUAAGUAACACCGAUUAGGUAGCUGCCAUCCCCUUCUUUGAAGCUUAUCCAAAGUGAGGAUCUUCCCCCACGCUGCCUCCCAAGCAAAAAAAGACACUUUUGUUGGAACCCUAUCCAUCCAAAUGCGUCUAUUCGGAAAAGCACCAACUGAGUGGCCGCUCAAACUUCUGUAGGCCCCCUUGGCCCCAAAAACGCCGUUGCCUUCCCGCUUCCAUCUCACUGAGUCCUCCUCCUGAGAAAUCCUGAAAUCCUUCAGAAGAUUCAGCAUUUCUCCUAUCUGAUCUAUCUCCCAAUCAUUGAAAUCUCUAGCCAAACUGAGAUUCCACCCUCCUUGCCCCAAACUAGAAUCCCACACUUCACAAACUUUGGCAUUCUUAUGACCCGCCAAGGUAAACAACUGAGGAAAAGUUUGAGAAAGCGCCUCAUUGCCACACCACUUAUCCAUCCAAAACAAAACUCUAUUCCCCUUCCCAACCUUAAGGUCCAUGCUCUCCCAACACCACUCCGCCUCUUUCAUUAUCUCCUUCCACAACCCCACCCCAUAAGGCCCACAAACUUCCUUAGUCCUCCACCCACAUCCCUCUUGCCCAUAUUUCACCCCUAUCGCCUUUUUCCAUAGGUUAUCCUUCUCAUAGACAUAUCUCCAAACCCAUUUGCCCAACAAUGUUUUGUUCAACAAAUCUAUCUUUCGGAUGCCUAAUCCCCCCUCCUCCUUAGGGCUGCAAACCACUUGCCAAUUAAUCAAAUGAACUUUCCCCUCCAAACUUCCUCCCCCCCACAAGAAAUCUCUUUGGAUUUUUUCAAUCCUUUUUGCCACCGCCUUAGGAAUUCGAAUAAGUGAAAGGAGGUAGAUGGGUAUGCUGGCCAAAGUGCUCUUAAUAAGAGUAAUUCUUCCCCCCUUGGAGAUAUAUUGCCUUUUCCACUGGGCUAAUCUUCUUCUCAUUCUCUCUUCCACCCCAUCCCAAGAAGAGGCGUUUUUAUGAUUGGCUCCAAGGGGCAGCCCCAAGUAAACAGCGAGUAAAGCCCCCAAUUUACAACCCAGCUCAGCCGCCAACUCCUCCAUCUCAUCCACUUCCCCCACCGGAAUAAGGACACUCUUAGCCAGGUUAAUUCUCAAGCCGGAGGCAGCCUCAAACCACGCCAAAAUCCAGCUUAGAUUGGUCAGUUGCUCUCUUCUAGCUUUGCAGAAAAUAAGAGUGUCGUCAGCAAAGAGGAGGUGCGAAACAGUCAGCUCAUCCCCCCCUCUCCCCCGCAUCCUACAGCCUGAAAUAAAGCCCCCUUCACCAGCCCGUCUAAUCAUGGUGCUAAGCACUUCCAUACCCAAAACAAAAAGAUAAGGAGAGAGGGGAUCUCCUUGCCGCAGCCCCUUUGAGUUCGAAAAGAAACCAGCUGGAACCCCAUUGAUUAAUAUAGAGAAUUUGGCGGUAGAAAUACACCACCUCAUCCAUUCCUCCCACCGAGACCCAAAUCCCAUCUUCCGAAGAACCUUCAUAAGGAAGUUCCAAUUGAUACUAUCAUAAGCUUUUUCAAUGUCCAACUUACAUAUCAACCCUUUCUCUUUUCUUUUAUACCAAUAAUCAAUCACCUCAUUAGCUACUAGAGAAGCAUCCAAAAUCUGUCUCCCUCUCACAAAGGCGUUUUGGUCAACUGAGACCACUCUGUCCAGCACUUUCUUUAGCCUAUUUGCUAGGACUUUGGCUAAAAGUUUAUACAAACUCCCAAGCAAACUAAUUGGCCUAAAGUCCCCCAAGUCAUCAGCUCCUCCUUUCUUGGGAAUAAGGACCAAAAAGGUGGUAUUAAGAGACUUGGCAAAGGAUUCAUACUCAAAGAAUUCCUUAAACAGUUUCAUCACCUCCUCCUUCACCACAUCCCAGCAAUCUUGCCAAAAGGCCAUUGUGAACCCAUCCGGACCUGGAGCUUUAUCACCCCUCAUCUCCAUUAGUGCAAAAUGAAUUUCCUCCUCAGAGAAGGGCACCUCCAAAUUUUCAGCUUCCCGGGAAUUAAGCUGUUUGAGCUGCAGGCCCUCAAUAUCUGUUCUCCACCCCGGCUCUUCUGAAAGUAAAUUCUGGAAAGCAUUCACUAUCCCCUCCCUCACCUCUUGAUCCUCAGUCAGCAACUCCCCAUUAAUUGUAAUCCUAUCCAAAGAAUUAUUCCUGCGAUGAGCAUUGGCCAUACGAUGAAAAUAACCGGUAUUCCUAUCCCCUUCCUUUAGCCACAGCUCCCUAGAUUUCUGCCUCCACUGAAUUUCCUCCAUUAGCACCCAUUUAUAAAAGACAUGGCUAGGAUUUUGAAAAAUUAUCAACUACUUUGGUAUUGAUGCAAGCAAGAAACAAAGGUAAUGUGUACAACAACAAAGAAAUGAAGAAGUUUCUUAUUUUCUAUAUCCAAAAAUGUAUAGGCAGGUGAGUAUUUAUAUACAAAAAACUUAGCAAAAUGAUAGCUGAAAAAUAACAAACUACAAACUAAAAAACUCAUUGCUAACUAACUAAAAUUAAGUUGCGACUUAACUACUAACUUUCUGUACAUCCUCCCUGCAAGUUGGAGCUUGGUGAAAAUCAAACAAGCCUUACUUGGACAACAAAAAUGAAAAAGUAGGAGCAGAUAAAGCUUUUGUGAAUAUGUUUGCAAUGUGAAGCUUUGAAGAAAUGUGAUGAGGUAAAAUAAAUCCUUGCUUGAAUUUAUCUUGAACCAAGUGACAAUCAAUCUCCAAAUGUUUGGUACGAUCUAAAAUACAAGAUUAGUUGUAAUGUGGAGAGUUGCAUGGUUGUCACACUAAGGAGGAAUAGAGAGAGAAGGAAGAAAACCAAAAUCUUGUAAGAGAUAAGAUAUCCAUUGCAAUUCACAAACAGUGGAAACCAUGCUUCUAUAUUUAGCUUUAGCAGAAGAACGGGACACAGUAGUUUGUUUCUUGGUUUUCCAAGAAAUCAAAGUUGAUCCAAAGAAAAUACAAUAACCAGUAAGAGACCUUCUAGUAUCAAUGCAAGAGGCCCAAUCAACAUCACAAUAAGCUUGAAGCUUAAAAGAAUUACUAGAAAGGAAAAAUAUUCCUUCAAAGUGACAACCCUUGAGAUAGUGUAGAGCAUGUAAGGCAGCAUCCCAAGAGCUUGGCAAGGAGCAUGAACAAAUUGACUUAGUUGUUGAACAACAUAAGUAAAAUCAGGUCAAGUAAAUCCCAAAUAGAGAAGACCUCCAAUUAUUCUUCUAUAUUUGUCUAGAUUGGAGAGUAAAGAGCCCAUAGUUGUAGAAAAUUUGUGGCCUGGAGGAAGUGGAGUAGUAGCAGGUUUGACGCCUAAUAAACCUGUGUCCUUAAGAAUGUCCAUAACAUACUUUCUUGAUUGAUAUAAGUACCAGUAGUAGAACGAGCUAUCUCAAGACUAAGAAAAUACUUGGCAUAACCAAGAUCUUUAACUGUAAAUUGAGAAUAUAGAAAUUGCUUAACAGCAACAAUAUCAUCCUCAUUAGUUACUAUGACUAAAACAUCAUCCACAUAGAUAAUCAAGGCUAGAAAAACAUGGUCUGAUUGUUUGACAAACAAACAAUUAUCAUGAACUAACUGAUGAAAACCAAAUUGUUUCAAUUUUAUAGUAAAUUCAUAAUUCCACUACCUAGAUGCCUGUUUAAGAUCAUAUAGAGAUUGUUUAAGUUUACAUACUUGACUUGGUAUGGCAUUAGUAUAACCUUCUAGAGGCUGCAUAUAGACUUUUUUCAUCCAAAUAAUCAUGCAAGAAAACAUUGUUGAUAUCUAAUUGAUGAAUUGGCCAAGACUUUGUAGUAGCAAUAGCUAGUAACAACUUGAUGAUAACAAGCUUAGCAACAGGUGAAAAAUUGUCAAAAUAAUCUAUCCAUUCUAUUUUAUUAUAACCUUUUGCCUCUAGUCUUGCUUUAAACAUAUCAACACUACCAUCAGGUUUAAGUUUAACCUUGUAGACCCAUUUGGAACCAAUGGCUUUCUUACCCACAGGUAAACUUUUUAAAUCCCAAGUAUGAUUAUCCUCUAGAGCAGCAAGCUCUUUGUUCAUUCCUACAACCCAUUUUGCAUGAACGCUAGCCUGUUUAUAAGAAAUUGGUUCGGGAAAAGCUAUAAGAAGUAAUGAAUGGAAAAAUGUUGGGUGUUUAGGAAGAAGUAGGAUCAAGAGUUGUGAUUGAAGAAGCAUUGUUAGUAGAUGAAGUAAUAGAAUCUAUAAUAUUUGAAACAAAGUCAUUCAACCAAGUUUGUUUCCUUUUAACUUGAGUACUGUGCCUUGGAGAUAAAACAAGAGGAAUAGAUAUAGAAGUAGAGAGCAAGACAGGUAGAGUAGAUAUAGAUGAAUCAUAAUGUGUAGAGGAAUGAGAAAUAGAAAGAACAUCACUCCUUAUUUAGGUACCUAAAUAAUCCUCCUCAACACUCAAAACACUAUCAAUGGAUUCACCAAGUGGGCUAUCAAUAAUAUAUCCCUAACAUUGCCUCCAACUCCUUAUUUAGGUGCCAUUAAGCAUCGUUUGCAAAACGCUUUCGAUCAGAAGAGUCCACCAGAGAACUUUCCCAACGAUUAUGAUGUGAUGAAACCUGCAACAAACACUAACUCGACAUAUGGGAAUGGGGUGUACAUGCUAGAGUUUAGGACAACGGUCGACGUGAUUCUUCAAAAUGCCAAUGCAUUAGCCACAGGUGUCAGUGAAAUACACCCCUGGUCAUGAUUUUUGGGUGUUGGGAUAUGGAGAAGGAAAGUUUAGGGAAAAUGAUGCAAAGACGUUUAACUUGAAGAAUCCACCAUUGAGGAAUACUGCAGUGACAUUCCCUUUCGCAUGGACAGCUCUUAGGUUUGUGGCGGAUAAUCCUGGGGUUUGGGCAUUUCACUGCCACAUUGAGCCUCAUUCGCAUAUGGGAAUGGGAGUGGUCUUUGCUGAAGGUGUUCAUCUG
RNAcentral lists this long non-coding RNA (8450 nucleotides) under Vitis vinifera (wine grape). RNAcentral's name for it is "long non-coding RNA (VVIN_LNC001852)". The record is from RNAcentral. Lineage: Eukaryota; Viridiplantae; Streptophyta; Magnoliopsida; Vitales; Vitaceae.